RNAcentral lists this unclassified non-coding RNA (383 nucleotides) under Hevea brasiliensis (rubber tree). The record is from RNAcentral. Lineage: Eukaryota; Viridiplantae; Streptophyta; Magnoliopsida; Malpighiales; Euphorbiaceae.
UGGUUUUAUUACGCUGACAUAUAGGGCAUGCUGCAACAUAAUCCCUUAUCGUUGAUUUCAUACCCUUCCAAUAAAAAUCAUGGCAUAGUCACUGCAAUGUCUUAUUGACUCCUUCAUGGGUGGUAUCAUGAAAAUUAGAUAAUAGCGGUGCAAUUAAUGGAGAAGAUGAUAAAAGAUAAAUGCUGUUUUUAUAGAGGAUUAAGCCAUCUCGCAAGGUCCACAAAGUGCCCAAUUCUCCUGCUGCCACCUUGGUUCGCAAAUCCUGAAGCGAUUCUGAUUCAGCAAUUUCCUUUCGGAUCUCAUAAAAAAAUAGAACCUGUGGUUGAGAAAUGGCACACAACAUCCCUUCUUCCUCAGUUCGGCGGGAUAGUCCAUCUGCGGCU